This 623-nucleotide ribosomal RNA is filed under the name Staphylococcus sp. TD10. RNAcentral's name for it is "bacterial SSU rRNA". It matches the Rfam family "Bacterial small subunit ribosomal RNA", at positions 41 to 646 of the family's 1533-position model. The record is from RNAcentral. Lineage: Bacteria; Bacillati; Bacillota; Bacilli; Caryophanales; Staphylococcaceae.
GGCGUGCCUAAUACAUGCAAGUCGAGCGAACAGACAAGGAGCUUGCUCCUUUGACGUUAGCGGCGGACGGGUGAGUAACACGUGGGUAACCUACCUAUAAGACUGGGAUAACUUCGGGAAACCGGAGCUAAUACCGGAUAAUAUUUCGAACCGCAUGGUUCGAUAGUGAAAGAUGGUUUUGCUAUCACUUAUAGAUGGACCCGCGCCGUAUUAGCUAGUUGGUAAGGUAACGGCUUACCAAGGCGACGAUACGUAGCCGACCUGAGAGGGUGAUCGGCCACACUGGAACUGAGACACGGUCCAGACUCCUACGGGAGGCAGCAGUAGGGAAUCUUCCGCAAUGGGCGAAAGCCUGACGGAGCAACGCCGCGUGAGUGAUGAAGGUCUUCGGAUCGUAAAACUCUGUUAUUAGGGAAGAACAUACGUGUAAGUAACUAUGCACGUCUUGACGGUACCUAAUCAGAAAGCCACGGCUAACUACGUGCCAGCAGCCGCGGUAAUACGUAGGUGGCAAGCGUUAUCCGGAAUUAUUGGGCGUAAAGCGCGCGUAGGCGGUUUUUUAAGUCUGAUGUGAAAGCCCACGGCUCAACCGUGGAGGGUCAUUGGAAACUGGAAAACUUGAA